UACGGGGGAGCAAGCGUUGUUCGGAUUUACUGGGCGUAAAGGGCGCGUAGGCGGCGCAACAAGUCACUUGUGAAAUCUCCGGGCUUAACCCGGAGCGGCCAAGUGAUACUGUCGUGCUAGAGUGCGGAAGGGGCUACUGGAAUUCUCGGUGUAGCGGUGAAAUGCGUAGAUAUCGAGAGGAACACCUGCGGCGAAGGCGGGUAGCUGGGCCGACACUGACGCUGAGGCGCGAAAGCCAGGGGAGCGAACGGG
This 252-nucleotide ribosomal RNA is filed under the name uncultured bacterium. RNAcentral's name for it is "partial 16S ribosomal RNA". It matches the Rfam family "Bacterial small subunit ribosomal RNA", at positions 524 to 776 of the family's 1533-position model. The record is from RNAcentral.